This is a non-coding RNA of Capsicum annuum, 943 nucleotides long. The record is from Rfam. NCBI's taxonomy places the organism in Eukaryota, Viridiplantae, Streptophyta, Magnoliopsida, Solanales, Solanaceae.
UGGGUCGGUCAUGAUUAUGACCCUAUUCCACAGUCUUGAUGAGAAUAUUUAUGCUAUCUUUUUAAAUGUUCGAAAUUCAGCCCAUAAAAGGCUGGAUAAAGGUGGAUGGGUUAGGUAACAGGGUUGUUCCCCGGUCCUAGUUAGACUGGGGAUGCCUAUUAUGACAAGGACCAGGGUCAGGUCAUGUUAUGACAGGUGACGGAAAAUUAGGGUUCGAUUCCAUAGAGGUAGCCUGAGAAAUGGCUACCACAUCCAAGGAAGGCAGUAGGCGCGUAAAUUACCCAAUCCUGACACGGGGAGGUAGUGAUAAUAAAUAACAAUACCGGACUUAAUGAGUCUGGUAAUUGGAAUGAGUACAAUCUAAAUCCCUUAACGAGGAUCAAUUGGAGAGAAAUUUUGGUGCUAGUAUUCACGGUAAUUCUAGGUCCAAUAGUGUAUAUUUAAGUUGUUAUUGUUAAAAAGCUCAUAGUUGAACUUUGGGAUGGGCUGGCCGGUACACCUAUGGUGUGCACCGGUCGUUUCAUCCCUUAUGUCGGUGAUGCUCUCCUGGCCUUAACUGGCGGGUCGUACCUCUGACACUGUUAAUUUGAAGAAAUUAGAGUGGUCAAAGCAAGCCCACACUCUGUAUACAAUAACAUAAGAUAACAUUAUAGGAUUUUUGGUCUAUUAUGUUGGCCUUCGGGAUUGGAGUAAUGAUUAACAGGGAUAGUCAGGGGCAUUUGUAUUUCAUAGUCAGAGGUGCAAAUCUUGGAUUUAUGAAAGAUGAAAAACUGCGAAAGUAUUUUCCAAGGAUGUUUUAUUUAAUCAAAAACAAAAGUUGGGGAUCGAAGAUGAUCAGAUAAUGUUCUAGUCUCAACUAUAAAUGAUGCCAACUAGGGAUCCGCGGAUAUUGCUUUUAGGACUCCGCCAACACCUUACGAGAUAUCAAAGUUUUUGGUUUCCA